This is a small nuclear RNA of Eptesicus fuscus (big brown bat), 107 nucleotides long. Lineage: Eukaryota; Metazoa; Chordata; Mammalia; Chiroptera; Vespertilionidae. The record is from RefSeq and is a predicted model, not a curated record.
GUGCUCGCUUUGGCAGCACUUAUACUAAAAUUGGAACAAUACGGAGAAGAUUAACAUGGCCUCUGCACAAGGAUGACACACAAAUUUGUGAAAUGGUCCAUAUUAAA